This 305-nucleotide long non-coding RNA is filed under the name Lathyrus oleraceus (garden pea). Its description in RNAcentral is "Pisum sativum (pea) long non-coding RNA (PSAT_LNC005100)". The record is from RNAcentral. Lineage: Eukaryota; Viridiplantae; Streptophyta; Magnoliopsida; Fabales; Fabaceae.
AAAGAUUGCUCAGAGCUUCCUUCAAUCCAAAGAGGUAAGGGGUCUGAACCUUAUUAAAUAAUAAUAUGCUGAAAAUGGUGAAAUAUUAGAUGAACGAAAUUGGGAUUUUAAUCGAAGGAAUUCGUAGAAAUUAUAUGCAAUGAUGUUAGGAUUUGUGAAAUCGAAUAGGAGACUAAUUGUAUUAGAUGAUAUGAGUGAUUUUGUGUGAAAUUUGGACUGUGGAGGGAUGAAUUUGGAUAGAUCUCGUAGCAGAGGGAGCCAUUGCAGAUCUGGAAAUCUGGUUUCUGGUCAUACGCGUAUGGCAC